Molecule: ribosomal RNA, 321 nt
Filed under: Staphylococcus warneri
Lineage: Bacteria; Bacillati; Bacillota; Bacilli; Caryophanales; Staphylococcaceae
Description: bacterial SSU rRNA
Rfam family: Bacterial small subunit ribosomal RNA
Source: RNAcentral
GGAGGCAGCAGUGGGGAAUAUUGGACAAUGUGGGGAACCCUGAUCCAGGCAUGCCGCGUGUGUGAUGUUGGCCUUAUGGUAGUAACUCUCUUUAAGCGAGGAGGAGGCUCUUUUGGUUAAUACCCAAGAUGAGUGGACGUUACUCGCAGAAUAAGCACCGGCUAACUCUGUGCCAGCAGCCGCGGUAAUACAGAGGGUGCGAGCGUUAAUCGGAUUUACUGGGCGUAAAGCGUGCGUAGGCGGCUUUUUAAGUCGGAUGUGAAAUCCCCGAGCUUAACUUGGGAAUUGCAUUCGAUACUGGGAAGCUAGAGUAUGGGAGAG